This 2930-nucleotide ribosomal RNA is filed under the name Proteus vulgaris. RNAcentral describes it as "23S ribosomal RNA". It matches the Rfam family "Bacterial large subunit ribosomal RNA". Lineage: Bacteria; Pseudomonadati; Pseudomonadota; Gammaproteobacteria; Enterobacterales; Morganellaceae. The record is from RNAcentral.
GGGUUGUGAGGUUAAGCGAAUAAGCGUACACGGUGGAUGCCUAGGCAAUCAGAGGCGAUGAAGGACGUGCUAAUCUGCGAUAAGCGUCGGUAAGGUGAUAUGAACCGUUAUACCCGACGAUUUCCGAAUGGGGAAACCCAAUAUCCAAUGGAUAUUAUCAUGACGUGAAUACAUAGCGUCAUGAAGCGAACCGGGAGAACUGAAACAUCUCAGUACCCCGAGGAAAAGAAAUCAACCGAGAUUCCCCUAGUAGCGGCGAGCGAACGGGGAACAGCCCAGAGUCUUAAUCAACAGCAGCAUCAGGAGAACGGUCUGGAAAGUCCGGCAGUAAAGGGUGAUAGCCCCGUAUCUGAAGAUGCUGUUAUUGUGAACUCGAUGAGUAGGGCGGGACACGUGUUAUCCUGUCUGAAUAUGGGGGGACCAUCCUCCAAGGCUAAAUACUCCUGAUUGACCGAUAGUGAACCAGUACCGUGAGGGAAAGGCGAAAAGAACCCCGGCGAGGGGAGUGAAAAAGAACCUGAAACCGUGUACGUACAAGCAGUAGGAGCCUCUUUAUGGGGUGACUGCGUACCUUUUGUAUAAUGGGUCAGCGACUUAUAUUCUGUAGCAAGGUUAACCGUAUAGGGGAGCCGUAGGGAAACCGAGUCUUAACUGGGCGAAUGAGUUGCAGGGUAUAGACCCGAAACCCGGUGAUCUAUCCAUGGGCAGGUUGAAGGUUGGGUAACACUAACUGGAGGACCGAACCGACUAAUGUUGAAAAAUUAGCGGAUGACUUGUGGAUGGGGGUGAAAGGCCAAUCAAACCGGGAGAUAGCUGGUUCUCCCCGAAAGCUAUUUAGGUAGCGCCUCGUGAACUCAUCUUCGGGGGUAGAGCACUGUUUCGACUAGGGGGUCAUCCCGACUUACCAACUCGAUGCAAACUGCGAAUACCGAAGAAUGUUAUCACGGGAGACACACGGCGGGUGCUAACGUCCGUCGUGAAGAGGGAAACAACCCAGACCGCCAGCUAAGGUCCCAAAGUCAUGGUUAAGUGGGAAACGAAGUGGGAAGGCUCAGACAGCCAGGAUGUUGGCUUAGAAGCAGCCAUCAUUUAAAGAAAGCGUAAUAGCUCACUGGUCGAGUCGGCCCGCGCGGAAGAUGUAACGGGGCUAAACCAUGCACCGAAGCUGCGGCAGCGACACUAUGUGUUGUUGGGUAGGGGAGCGUUCUGUAAGCCUGCGAAGGUGUACUGUGAGGUAUGCUGGAGGUAUCAGAAGUGCGAAUGCUGACAUAAGUAACGAUAAUGCGGGUGAAAAACCCGCACGCCGGAAGACCAAGGGUUCCUGUCCAACGUUAAUCGGGGCAGGGUGAGUCGACCCCUAAGGCGAGGCUGAAAAGCGUAGUCGAUGGGAAACGGGUUAAUAUUCCCGUACUGGUGGUAACUGCGAUGGGGGAACGGAGAAGGCUAGGUUGUCCGGGCGACGGUCGUCCCGGUUCAAGCAUGUAGGCAGAGUGAUUAGGCAAAUCCGGUCACUUAAUGCUGAGGUGUGAUGACGAGCCACUAAGGUGGUGAAGCAAUUGAUGCCCUGCUUCCAGGAAAAGCCUCUAAGCUUCAGGUUACCAACAAUCGUACCCCAAACCGACACAGGUGGUCAGGUAGAGAAUACUCAGGCGCUUGAGAGAACUCGGGUGAAGGAACUAGGCAAAAUGGUGCCGUAACUUCGGGAGAAGGCACGCUGGCGGUAAGUGAAGUCCCUCGCGGACGGAGCCGAAGCCAGUCGAAGAUACCAGCUGGCUGCAACUGUUUAUUAAAAACACAGCACUGUGCAAACACGAAAGUGGACGUAUACGGUGUGACGCCUGCCCGGUGCUGGAAGGUUAAUUGAUGGGGUUAUCCGUAAGGAGAAGCUCUUGAUCGAAGCCCCAGUAAACGGCGGCCGUAACUAUAACGGUCCUAAGGUAGCGAAAUUCCUUGUCGGGUAAGUUCCGACCUGCACGAAUGGCGUAAUGAUGGCCAGGCUGUCUCCACCCGAGACUCAGUGAAAUUGAACUCGCUGUGAAGAUGCAGUGUACCCGCGGCAAGACGGAAAGACCCCGUGAACCUUUACUAUAGCUUGACACUGAACAUUGAGCCUUGAUGUGUAGGAUAGGUGGGAGACUUUGAAGUGUGGACGCCAGUCUGCAUGGAGUCAACCUUGAAAUACCACCCUUUAACGUUUGAUGUUCUAACCUAGGUCCAUAAUCUGGAUCGGGGACCGUGUCUGGUGGGUAGUUUGACUGGGGCGGUCUCCUCCUAAAGAGUAACGGAGGAGCACGAAGGUUGGCUAAGCAUGGUCGGACAUCAUGCGGUUAGUGCAAAGGCAUAAGCCAGCUUGACUGUGAGAGUGACGGCUCGAGCAGGUACGAAAGUAGGUCUUAGUGAUCCGGUGGUUCUGAAUGGAAGGGCCAUCGCUCAACGGAUAAAAGGUACUCCGGGGAUAACAGGCUGAUACCGCCCAAGAGUUCAUAUCGACGGCGGUGUUUGGCACCUCGAUGUCGGCUCAUCACAUCCUGGGGCUGAAGUAGGUCCCAAGGGUAUGGCUGUUCGCCAUUUAAAGUGGUACGCGAGCUGGGUUUAGAACGUCGUGAGACAGUUCGGUCCCUAUCUGCCGUGGGCGUUGGAAGAUUGAGAGGGGUUGCUCCUAGUACGAGAGGACCGGAGUGAACGCACCACUGGUGUUCGGGUUGUCAUGCCAAUGGCAUUGCCCGGUAGCUAAGUGCGGAAGAGAUAACCGCUGAAAGCAUCUAAGCGGGAAACUUGCCUCGAGAUGAGUCUUCCCUGUCACCUUGAGUGACCUAAAGGAACGUUUAAGACUAAGACGUUGAUAGGCUGGGUGUGUAAGCGUAGCGAUACGUUGAGCUAACCAGUACUAAUGAACCGUGAGGCUUAACCUGACAACACCGAAGGUGUUU